GACGAACGCUGGCGGCGUGCUUAACACAUGCAAGUCGAACGGAAAGGCCCUGCUUUUGUGGGGUGCUCGAGUGGCGAACGGGUGAGUAACACGUGAGUAACCUGCCCUUGACUUUGGGAUAACUUCAGGAAACUGGGGCUAAUACCGGAUAGGAGCUCCUGCUGCAUGGUGGGGGUUGGAAAGUUUCGGCGGUUGGGGAUGGACUCGCGGCUUAUCAGCUUGUUGGUGGGGUAGUGGCUUACCAAGGCUUUGACGGGUAGCCGGCCUGAGAGGGUGACCGGCCACAUGGGGACUGAGAUACGGCCCAGACUCCUACGGGGGGCAGCAGUGGGGAAUAUUGCACAAUGGGCGGAAGCCUGAUGCAGCAACGCCGCGUGCGGGAUGACGGCCUUCGGGUUGUAAACCGCUUUCGCCUGUGACGAAGUGUGAGUGACGGUAAUGGGUAAAGAAGCACCGGCUAACUACGUG
RNAcentral lists this ribosomal RNA (468 nucleotides) under uncultured bacterium. Its description in RNAcentral is "partial 16S ribosomal RNA". It matches the Rfam family "Bacterial small subunit ribosomal RNA", at positions 28 to 507 of the family's 1533-position model. The record is from RNAcentral.